GAUGGCGACCGGCGCACGGGUGAGUAACACGUAUCCAACCUGCCGAUGACUCGGGGAUAGCCUUUCGAAAGAAAGAUUAAUACCCGAUGGCAUAGUUCUUCCGCAUGGUAGAACUAUUAAAGAAUUUCGGUCAUCGAUGGGGAUGCGUUCCAUUAGGCUGUUGGCGGGUAACGGCCCACCAAGCCUUCGAUGGAUAGGGGUUCUGAGAGGAAGGUCCCCCACAUUGGAACUGAGACACGGUCCAAACUCCUACGGGAGGCAGCAUG
This 266-nucleotide ribosomal RNA is filed under the name uncultured bacterium. Its description in RNAcentral is "partial 16S ribosomal RNA". It matches the Rfam family "Bacterial small subunit ribosomal RNA", at positions 87 to 353 of the family's 1533-position model. The record is from RNAcentral.